Lepisosteus oculatus (spotted gar) is the source of this 201-nucleotide non-coding RNA. The record is from Rfam. NCBI's taxonomy places the organism in Eukaryota, Metazoa, Chordata, Actinopteri, Semionotiformes, Lepisosteidae.
CUGCGAAAACCAGAAACAGCUCAAGACUGACCUGCGGUUUUAUAGUGCUUUUGGCAGUCAACUUCAGCUUUUGUCAGAGCAGACACGACAGAGCUGACCAAGGGCGAUAUACAGACGCCACCUACAUGGAAUUCGCGAUACCCUCAGAUGAAACGAGACAAACAUCAGAAGUGGAGGAUACAAAGAACUUACUCAGGUCGG